This 478-nucleotide ribosomal RNA is filed under the name uncultured bacterium. RNAcentral describes it as "partial 16S ribosomal RNA". It matches the Rfam family "Bacterial small subunit ribosomal RNA", at positions 28 to 523 of the family's 1533-position model. The record is from RNAcentral.
GACGAACGCUGGCGGCGUGCUUAACACAUGCAAGUCGAACGGUAAGGCCCUUCGGGGUACACGAGUGGCGAACGGGUGAGUAACACGUGGGUGAUCUGCCCUGCACUUCGGGAUAAGCCUGGGAAACUGGGUCCAAUACCGGAUAGGACUCCGGACUGCAUGGUCUGGGGUGGAAAGCUUUUGCGGUGUGGGAUGGGCCCGCGGCCUAUCAGCUUGUUGGUGGGGUGAUGGCCUACCAAGGCGACGACGGGUAGCCGGCCUUAGAGGGUGACCGGCCACACUGGGACUGAGAUACGGCCCAGACUCCUACGGGAGGCAGCAGUGGGGAAUAUUGCACAAUGGGCGCAAGCCUGAUGCAGCGACGCCGCGUGAGGGAUGACGGCCUUCGGGUUGUAAACCUCUUUCAGCAUCGACGAAGCGAAAGUGACGGUAGGUGCAGAAGAAGGACCGGCCAACUACGUGCCAGCCGCCGCAGUAA